UACGGAGGGUGCAAGCGUUAUCCGGAUUCACUGGGUUUAAAGGGUGCGUAGGUGGGCAGUUAAGUCAGUGGUGAAAUCUCCGGGCUCAACCCGGAAACUGCCAUUGAUACUAUCUGUCUUGAAUAUCGUGGAGGUAAGCGGAAUAUGUCAUGUAGCGGUGAAAUGCUUAGAUAUGACAUAGAACACCAAUUGCGAAGGCGGCUUACUACCCGAAUAUUGACACUGAGGCACGAAAGCGUGGGGAUCAAACAGG
RNAcentral lists this ribosomal RNA (253 nucleotides) under uncultured bacterium. RNAcentral describes it as "partial 16S ribosomal RNA". It matches the Rfam family "Bacterial small subunit ribosomal RNA", at positions 524 to 776 of the family's 1533-position model. The record is from RNAcentral.